Molecule: ribosomal RNA, 484 nt
Filed under: uncultured bacterium
Lineage: Bacteria
Description: partial 16S ribosomal RNA
Rfam family: Bacterial small subunit ribosomal RNA
Source: RNAcentral
AUUGAACGCUGGCGGCAUGCUUUACACAUGCAAGUCGAACGGCAGCGCGGGCUUCGGCCUGGCGGCGAGUGGCGCACGGGUGAGUAAUGCAUCUGACCGUGCCCCGUCGUUGGGGAUAGCCCGGCGAACGCCGGCUUAAUACCGCAUUCGACCUGAGGGUGAAAGCGGGGGACCGAAAGGCCUCGCGCUAUUGGAGCGGCCGAUGUCCGAUUAGCUUGUUGGUGGGGUAAAGGCUUACCAAGGCGACGAUCCGUAGCUGGGCUGAGAGGACGACCAGCCACACUGGGACUGAGACACGGCCCAGACUCCUACGGGAGGCAGCAGUGGGGAAUGGUGGACGAUGGGGGCAAUCCUGAUCCAGCCAUGCCGCGUGCGGGAAGAAGGCCUUCGGGUGGUAAACCGCUUUUGUUCGGGAAGAAAGCCUCUGGGCUAAUACCCCGGGGGGAUGACGGUACCGGAAGAAGAAGCACCGGCUAACUACGUG